AGCGAACGCUGGCGGCAGGCUUAACACAUGCAAGUCGAGCGGGCACUUUCGGGUGUCAGCGGCGGACGGGUGAGUAACGCGUGGGAACGUGCCCUCUGGUUCAGAAUAACUCAGGGAAACUUGAGCUAAUACCGGAUACGCCCUUUUGGGGAAAGGCUUGCUGCCGGAGGAUCGGCCCGCGUCUGAUUAGCUAGUUGGUGAGGUAACGGCUCACCAAGGCGACGAUCAGUAGCUGGUCUGAGAGGAUGAUCAGCCACACUGGGACUGAGACACGGCCCAGACUCCUACGGGAGGCAGCAGUGGGGAAUAUUGGACAAUGGGCGCAAGCCUGAUCCAGCCAUGCCGCGUGAGUGAUGAAGGCCUUAGGGUUGUAAAGCUCUUUUAUCCGGGACGAUAAUGACGGUACCGGAGGAAUAAGCCCCGGCUAACUUCGUG
Molecule: ribosomal RNA, 435 nt
Filed under: uncultured bacterium
Lineage: Bacteria
Description: partial 16S ribosomal RNA
Rfam family: Bacterial small subunit ribosomal RNA
Source: RNAcentral